UCAUUUAUUUGUACUUUUAAAGACUAACAUGCUUGAUGAAAUAAUCAGACAGUAACAUGUGGUGCAUUACAUGUACAUUAUGUUAACAUAUAUGGACCAAUUUUUAACCAUAAAAAUGGAUGA
RNAcentral lists this microRNA precursor (123 nucleotides) under Gossypium arboreum. RNAcentral's name for it is "MIR7502 microRNA precursor family". It matches the Rfam family "MIR7502 microRNA precursor family", at positions 12 to 132 of the family's 143-position model. Lineage: Eukaryota; Viridiplantae; Streptophyta; Magnoliopsida; Malvales; Malvaceae. The record is from Rfam by way of RNAcentral.